UCUUUAGUAUUCAUGUCGAAAUCGUAGAGAUGUGGCUGGGUUUCGUAGCCUAAUUGUUUGUACGCCAAAUUACGGUUUGGAAAAAUCCGAGGAAAAAAUGGCCUACAUUUGAUAUUUUCUUAAUCUAAGCAAUUAGUCAACGUGUCUGAUUUCGAGCACAGAGUCGGUACUAAAGUGGUUUGCAGCUCGCUCUAUGUUAUUUGUGGUAAUGUUGCGGUAAGUCUUUAAGAACACAACUAUGCAACAUAAAACCCUAUACGUGCCUUUUCUCAUCUCAAGUUGGUCACAUGCACAUUAUUCGCAGGAUAUCAUAAAGCACGGAGAACGACGAAACUACCAAUGAAAAAGAGCAUACCUAUUCUAAGAUGUUGAUUACAAAUACGUAGUUUUUUUUUUUAAUUCUUGAGUUUUCAUAGCGUAUUGUGUAGGUUAUAAUUGCUUUUAAUCAUUUUUAAUUGGUACGUGUAGAAACGCACAAAGUGGUGGGAUCUUGUAAAUAUGGUGGACGUCGAACUAGCACGCCACAUGCGACAUCGUGCACUUAAGCUGGGUUCACAAUCAAACAAUAUAAGCAAAUGCACAGAAGAUAAUGCACACGACUGUGCACGCCAAUCUGUGCGAAAUCGGUUCGCGAUUGUUUUCAUCUGCGUUAAUAUUAACCGAUGUAAUCUGUCGAUAGUGUUAGUAAACAAAUAUUUUAAGUACGACACGUCCAAGAAAGCUGACGAGCAGUCAUCGCAAAUUAGUUAUGAAUUUUCUCCAACUACAGCUUUUUGCUCCUUGUUUUAAAAAUUUUACCUCACUUCGGAAGGAGGGCAACUAACCACCCCCUCCCCUUGCCAUCACCCUAGCACCUUUAAAUACCAUUUUUCAAUGAUAAAUGAUAUUAGGUUAUGGGUUAUGCAAAAUUUGUAGAAGUAAUAUAUUUUUGUCGGUCCUGCGGCUGUUUCACGGUUCAGGAGGGAAGGGACGGCCGCCAUCUUAGAUGAACUUGCCGUUGAACUUUGACCUUGACCUUGACCCUGGCCGCCACUAUGGAUUACCUUGACCUCGAUCACGAUUUUUAAUUCCGAAAUUUUGUUUUAGAAAACUUUCCGCCAUAUUGAAUUAGGACAUCAUGUUCACCAUUUUGGUUUAGUCUGCUAGAGGUCGUCAUCUUGGAUUUCAUUUCAUGAUAGAAUGCUUUUUUUCAUGUUCGGAUUACCCCGCAUUUGGAAGUCUACAUCUGGUGUCAACGUUUUUAAAAAUGGAAUUUGCAAUAUCGUCAAUUUCGUAAGAGCCGACAGGUAACUGUAUCUCUUGAGCGAUCUCAUAAUUUUUCAGGAUGUAGAUUUUGCUAUUAUCCCUAUCGAUAUUCUGUAUGGCAUUAUAAGUCUGAAAAUCUGCGAGGCCAAUAUACCAUUAUCCUUACAGUUUUAGAGAUGAGAAUGAACUGUUCACAGCUCUACUAUUACCUGACAAGUAAGUGUUAUAGGAAUUACUAAUUAUUUAUCAGUACUGCGUAGGUAUAAUGUUUAUAUUUUAUAGUCAAAAAGCCAAGGCGCAAGUGACUGCAGUUUGAUUAGGUGACUUUUCGGUUUUGUAAUUGUAACACAGCAUAGUCACACCAAGAUACCGACGUAGUUCUGGAGGUAGUUUCAAAUUACCGAAACUAUCGUAGUACGCGACCUUUUUUUUUCAGACUUUACGUAUGCCACCCAGUGCGUGCCAAAACCUGCCGAUGUGUCUUAAGUUAAUAUUGGCGUGUUCGUGAGUCUUUGGCUUUGCUGGUAAAUUAUCUCUCUCAACAUAUGUUGUGCGGACGUAAGUAUAGUCCUGAGCUUUUUUUUUAACCCAUGGCAAUGGCAUUGUGUCUUCGUACUUAUGCCAGCUGUUUGUGCUCGUUCUUAUAAGUGACCCAGUUGUAAAGAGUGUUAUCACAAACUGGGAUUACCUGGGUGUAGAAGAGAAGAAAGAGAAAGCAGAAAAUUUUAUUUAUGAAAAGAUUUGAAUAAGUCGCUGACUUACUAGCGGAUGCACACAUUGCUGUCUUAAUUUGUUUUUCUUUUCUUUUAACUCGUGCGUUCCGAACAAGGAGAACAGGAGGGCAUGCUUAAUCUACGAAAUCUCUCUUGAUACUGCGACAGAAGUGACGCUCGUGUGCAAGGUCGUGUGCAAGCCGCGACUUUCUGUCGCUCAGUCGCUGCGACAGAAAGUCGCCCGUGUGUAAGUGCCCUUACUCGGACUUGGAAGCUGAAAUAACCAAUACACCUGCACCAUCAGUACUUGAAGUUUCCUGGGCCUUGUCUGAUCUAUCACCUACAACAACAGUAAUGCCAACUGGUAACACCAGAUAGCCUUCAUUGUUGAAGUACUCGUCGCCAUUUUUAAUCGAAUGACCUCACCGGAUUUCGGAACAGAGAACUGCAAGGUCCACGAUGUAAGUGCGUUUUAUUAUUAAAAUUAAAUUUUAAUAUAUUUUUUUAAAAAUGGUGGAAUACAAGAAUAGCGAAUGGUUCUAGUAACAAAUUUAACUGAAAAAAAUUAUGAAAUCCUACAGCAGAAGAAAAUUAGAUGGGGAUGUGAUGUCAUAAUCCAAUAUGGCGGAAAUGUCUCAAAAACAAUACAAUUAAAUCCAAGAUAUCAGAAUACAAGAUGGUGGAAAUUUAUAUAAUACAAAAUAGCUGAAUACAAAAUGGCGGUUAGGGAAAAGAUCAUCCAAGAUGGCGGCCUGGGUCAAGAUCAAGGUAAAAGGUCAGUAACAAGUUUAAGGUUAAUGUCAAGGUCAUCCGAGAUGGCGGCCGUGACCUCACAACAAUACAAGAUGGCGACCGUCUCCUCGCUCCUCAACCGUGAACCAGCCACAGAAAGUAUACCACUUGUAGUGAACAAUAUUUUAGGAACUUAAAAAUAGUAGGGUUUUUUUAUGUAUGCUUCAUUUAUGGUGGAUCACUUAUGUAUUUAGAUAAUUACGAUGACUUAAUUUUAAAGCAGCAUUUUUCUCAGAAAUGUAAUUACACGACAAUUUAUUGCCACUAUAUGACACGUAAAUAAUGAACAGUUACCAACACCCAUCAAAGUUACAAAAUGCUAUCCUACUCUAGUGUCUUUGGCUGUUGCGCUGUGCGUCCGCAGCAGAAAUUAAAUACAUAAAUUUCCCUCCAAUCGGCACGACCGUACUACGCGUAGUUGUAAUUCGGUAGUUUCGAAAUCAUGACGAUAAAAUCUUGUGCACAUAAACCAUGAUAGCCUAUAUAAGUUACUUUUAUUUCUUUCACUCGUGAACCCACCUUAACCUUGCCGUGCCGACGGCGUGAGAGGGAUUAUCGGCCUGGCACCGAGAGGUACAGUGCAGCGAGACAAGGCGCUAAACGAAAACAUAAACAUGAGCGUGAGCAUUAUGCAGCUGCGCAGUUCGGGAUCACAUUUGCUCAGAUUUUAACUUCAUCCUGGAGUUAAAAAUAGAUCUGAUUGACAGUGUAGGAGGUAAGCCAUCAUUUUGAUUUUUUUAUUUACUUAUUAUUAUUUUACAUAGUUUACAUUAUAAGCUAUGUUUUAUGGGAAAUAAUGAAACUCACAAAUGCUAUCUUACGUGUGGGCAUGGGCGUAGAUCCCGGGGGGGCCAGGGGGGCCCGGGCCCCCCCUGGAAUUAAUGGGCCCCCCCUUGGGGGGGGGGGCCCACUUCGUGAUUUUAAAGUUAAUGGUGUACACAUAAUAUAUAUAUCAGAUUAUUAUUUACAACGACGACAGACACUUUGACAUGCUUUACAUUCAUACUUUCGAGUUCCGUAGUUAUUUUCCCUUACCCCUUCUGCGAAAGCCAUGGUAUGGAGUUUUCCAGUUAGAACUUUGAAACCCUUAAUUCCUAGAAGCCGUUCAUUCCAAAGGACGAAGCUAGGGUAAGGUUCCGUUAGCAUUUCCUCCCCAUUGUUACCCACACUACCUUGUCCUCUGAAACGACAGUAUUAUAGGUUUCAGGUAGUCUGUUUUUAAAGUGGUUUUGCUCUCGUGUGCGCCAGUCUUCUACUUUCUUGGCAAACAUCAACAUGGAUAAGUUCGUGACGCGGAAGACACGGAAAACAGAAUCUGAUUCUCACCUGGACAGGACUGUGUCGACCCUUCAUCUGCGUGCUGCGGAAGGCGACGGAAACCCACCGCAAGCACACCCCGCGGCGUCUCCUGAGGUCAGAGGUCACCGUGCUCGGACAAAACACAGCCGUAGCCGUCCAGCUCCUGAUGUCCGCGCAGGCCCGUGUACUGCUGAAGAGGGCCUG
Long non-coding RNA from Bacillus rossius redtenbacheri, 4253 nucleotides. RefSeq lists it as uncharacterized. The record is from RefSeq and is a predicted model, not a curated record. The transcript has 3 exons. Lineage: Eukaryota; Metazoa; Arthropoda; Insecta; Phasmatodea; Bacillidae.